This 805-nucleotide ribosomal RNA is filed under the name uncultured bacterium. RNAcentral describes it as "bacterial SSU rRNA". It matches the Rfam family "Bacterial small subunit ribosomal RNA", at positions 1 to 856 of the family's 1533-position model. The record is from RNAcentral.
UUAGAGUUUGAUCAUGGCUCAGAACGAACGCUGGCGGCAGGCUUAAUAUAUGCAAGUCGAACGCGUGUAGCAAUACACGAGUGGCGCACGGGUGAGUAACGCGUGGAUAUCUGCCUUUUGGUUCGGAAUAACCCCGGGAAACUGGGGCUAAUACCGGAUGGUUCCUACGGGAUAAAGAUUUAUCGCCAAAAGAUGAGUCCGCGUCCGAUUAGCUUGUUGGCGGGGUAAUGAGCUACCAAGGCGACGAUCGGUAGCUGGUCUGAGAGGACGAUCAGCCACACUGGGACUGAGACACGAGCUAGACUCCUACGGGAGGCAGCAGUGGGGAAUAUUGGACAAUGGGGGCAACCCUGAUCCAGCCAUGCCGCGUGAGUGAUGAAGGCCUUCGGGUUGUAAAGCUCUUUUGGCGGGGACGAUGAUGACGGUACCCGCAGAAUAAGCCCCGGCUAACUUCGUGCCAGCAGCCGCGGUAAGACGAAGGGGGCUGGCGUUGUUCGGAAUUACUGGGCGUAAAGCGCGUGUAGGCGGUUGCCCAAGUCGGGUGUGAAAGCCUUGAGCUCAACUCAAGAAAUGCACUCGGUACUGGGUGACUAGAGGACCGGAGAGGAUAGUGGAAUUCCCAGUGUAGUGGUGAAAUACGUAGAGAUUGGGAAGAACACCAGUGGCGAAGGCGGCUAUCUGGACGGUUUCUGACGCUAAGACGCGAAAGCGUGGGGAGCAAACAGGAUUAGAUACCCUGGUAGUCCACGCCGUAAACGAUGGGUGCUAGACGUUGGCGAGCUUGCUCGUCAGUGUCGCAGCUUAC